UUAUAAAACAUGUUCACUUUAUAAAAAGCUUUUAAUUUUCCACUUAAGUAAUAUUUUAAGUAUAAAGAAUAGAUGUGAAAUAAAUAAAGUGAGAAUUUCUUGUUUUCAUCUGAAAAUAAGUAAUCUACAGAGAAGAAAAAUAUAGGAGACAUGUUAAAUUUGUUUUCAAAAGUUUUUCAAAGUUUAGUUAUAAUUUUAAAAACAUGAAAAACUGUUUUCUAUUUUCAUUUUAGAAAAAUGACACAAAUAAAUAUAAAGUUCUUUUUUUGUUUUCAUUCGAAAAAUUUUAUAGGUGUCAGUUUUCUAUAAGUAAGUAGAUCUUAAUAGUUUUAAUUUCUUUUUUUUUCAAUUUUAUCCAAUAAAAAAUAAAAAUUACAAAUAUCAAUUAAAUCAAAUGCAUAGAAACUUAUAGUACAUUUAUUAAAUAUAUAGUAGAGAGUGAAGUUUGACUCUUCACACUAGGAGUCUAUGGCCCUCAUAUACCUUUAUCAACAGAUGGACAUCACCAUUCGUGGUGGCAAGAAGAUUUGCAGCUUCUAGCAUGCGAUCCAUGUUUGCCUUGGAGAUUGGCCUCCUCGUAGGCUAACAACCCAUCUGCACCUCGCGAGCUUUCCCUUACUUGAGAUAUUGAGGCUCCAGCAGGGCAGUUGCUAGUGGUCACAAGUACACAUGCACUAUAUGUGGAUCAACAACCUGUCCUAGGACAUGAUCCCGAGUGAUUGGCAAGGAGAGUGUGACCAGUGAGAGCCUUAUAUGCUAUCCACGAUUGACCUCGAACAGAAGAUGAUCCUAUUGGCUAGGCCCGUAUGUAGGGCUUGGUACCUUGGCGAAAGAAUUUAUGGUUGGGAGCGCGAUCCCAAUAGGUGCCAAGUCCCAUUAUCUUCUCAUCUCUACAUGUUUUGGACAACCGAUCUUAUUAGAGAGGAGCUGAUAGAGUGCUUGAACGGGUAUGAUGAGGUUAUGGAUUUUACCCUUCGUUCACAACUGAUCGGUUAUACCUCGUUCAUUCCGCAGCUGCUGGGGACUUUACCUAUCAGGGAUGACACUAUUGUCCGGGUAUUUUAUUAGAUUAUUUAGAAUGCUCUCUUUUUACCAUGUACUGCUAUUUUAUUCACCUAUUCAUAGCUUGUUUGAUAGGCCCCUGCUAUCCACAAGCCAACUGAAGGAUGGUCUUCUCGACGCAACCAGCCUUCAUAUGUCGCAGGCUCAUCUGCUGGUGCGACUUCUGAGGCACCACCUAUGGCUACGUCAAAUGUGGUCCUCGGAGCUAUUUUAUUCCCUCAUGAUCCGAUGGUUUCAUAUUGAAGUCCACUUGGUGUGGUAGAGCACUGUCUCGCCAUAGAUCAGUAUUUCCUUUUAAAGUUCGUCCCGAGCAACUACACCCAUGUUCAAAAAGACCAAUUUGAGCAUGUAAAUCGACUGGUUAGGGUAGCGAGGAAACAAAAUUUUCAUCCUUGGUGAGGAUUGGUGGAGGGACUGCAGGGGCAGUUAGACGACCAGUGACAGAUUAAUGCCUUGACUCUUCAGCUACCCGCAUUAUAAACCCAAGGGAUGGUGCUGAAUCAGACGACGAGAUGGAUAGUUCAGGAGCGAACUCCGGCUUUUAAAUUUCCUUGGCUUCUAUUUUUGCCUUUUCUGAUUGUAUUUAAAACCUGAAAUCUUUGUGUAGACUUUUAUUUUUGAAGGUAUAAGAUGUAUCGCCUUUUGGAUUGCCCCCAAAUGUAAAACAAUUAUUGGGUUGCCUACCAAUUAGCGCUAAUUUAAGGUCAUUACCUUGACCGAACUGCUAUGAUCUCAAUUGGGAUCUUUGAGUCUGCAAGAGACACUCUUUAGACCAUACUCUCUUGUAUGAAAGAUAUUAAAACAUUGUCUAUUGACUUUAAAUGUUUCAUUUGCCUUU
Molecule: long non-coding RNA, 1900 nt
Organism: Ricinus communis (castor bean)
Lineage: Eukaryota; Viridiplantae; Streptophyta; Magnoliopsida; Malpighiales; Euphorbiaceae
Exons: 5
Source: RefSeq, a predicted model, not a curated record